UAUUAUUAUGAUACAUGUCGUCCUACUGUCGUUGGUAAUGGUGGUGGUGAGGAAAUAAGUAAACUGAAGAGUAGAGAACGAGCGCGCGCGGCGUUCGCGACACGCGGAGGCGAAAAGAAAAACGAAACAGACACUCACGCGAAUAAAAAAACGCGAUCGGAUAGGUCGGGUUUUUUACGCGCGCGGCGACGGCGGCGGCAGCCAAAGAGAGAUUUGAAACGACGACGACGACGGCGUAGUUAAAACGAAAAAAUACUAAUAACACACACACAUGUAAAAACUGAUUUCGAGGCAAUACCUGGUAACAUGGUACAUACAAAAAAUAGCCACAUCAUUAAGCCAAUUAAAACACUGGUAUUUUAACACGAUGAUUAAGAGUAUCAUCCACACAAGAGUUACAGCUCAACUGGUAAAAUAUAUAACAUUACACGUGGUUCGACGUGUUAUCGUUAUCUCUUGUUAUCGCAUCCAGAAAUACAUAAAUCGCAAACUGUAGAUGUAUUAGUCCAACG
Aphis gossypii (cotton aphid) is the source of this 512-nucleotide long non-coding RNA. RefSeq lists it as uncharacterized. Lineage: Eukaryota; Metazoa; Arthropoda; Insecta; Hemiptera; Aphididae. The transcript has 3 exons. The record is from RefSeq and is a predicted model, not a curated record.